Molecule: long non-coding RNA, 14733 nt
Organism: Equus caballus (horse)
Lineage: Eukaryota; Metazoa; Chordata; Mammalia; Perissodactyla; Equidae
Source: Ensembl
UCGAUACAGAUCGUCCUUAGCAGAUGACUGAACUCAGGGCUCCGGGAGGCGAGGACCAAGGAACCCAGAGCAAAGCCCUCAAAACUUUUAUGCGAAGGUUUGAGUUAGGGUUCAAAAAUAUGACCUCUGUAAAUACGAUAACAGGAAGUCAUCUUACCUUUCUCACAUUGGAAGAGCCACAUGCCAGUCUACGUGAGUGAGUGGAGAACACUUUCAAGCAUUGCUCAUGGACUCAACACAGCCAAACAAAACAAACUGGAAAAGGAAAAUCAGUGGCCAGAGUGUAGCCAAAGAACAGGAAUCCCCAGCUCACUGCCAGCUCGAUCUUCUGAACUAACGUCACAGGCGUCACACCAGGUACUCACAGCAGUGCAGACGAAGACUCACAACGAGGCCCUCCCCUCCGCAGACACGCAGACUGAGAGCCCAGGCGGUGCUGAGCGGCACAAAGGGUUUGCGUGGAGCCCGUCAUCCUUGAGAAGGUGACGCACUCUCCCAGCCUUGAGAGGUGGAUCGAGGAGGGGGGAGGCAGUCAGAGUGUGUGCGAGGUGCGUGGAGGCGAGCAGUGUUGCAACCCCUCCAGCUCAUCCUCGACAAAGCCGUGUGUGCCCACCACGAGGUGUAGCCGGCCAUAAAGCUGGCGUGUCAGAGGGAACUGUGGCCAGCCAGGGUCGCAAUCAAGGCCUAAACAGCAUGGGCAGCACAGGCAGUUCCCAUGGCCAGCUGGGGGACAGUGGCCUCCACCCUGGGAGCAAUGCAGAGGCCACAAGCCGAGCUGUUGUUACUCUUACAGCAUCUUUCCAGGCAGCGUGUGGGAGUCGGUGAGCGUUGCCCGUGUUGUCAGCUAUUGAGGCCUUUGUACAAAGAUCGUGGAUCAGGCUGCCUAAGCUCUGACUCGGAGACCAGCCACUGCUGCCUGCUCCGUGCACCCUGAACCCGUGGCCUUGCCCCACCUCUUGUUAUUGCCCACCUUAUUCCUUUCCCUCACUGCUCCCCUUGGUGCUGGUCCGUGGUCAGGAGCCCCCACAGCCUGCCCCAACCUUACUUCCCUGGUUCUAUUCAAACAUCCAGACUUAUCCCUUGUCUCAGAAGCCAAUCUUUGACACUAAGUGUCAGUCUAGCUAAGUCUGGGAGGCCGGUCUCACAAAGUCAACCUGCCAGUGCGAUGAUGGAGGAUGACACUGGAUGAGUUACUCCCUCCAGGUAAGAGUUCAUAUUUUUAUUCAUUUAAUUUCUUUGCUGGGGAAGAGUCGCCCUGAGCUAACAUCUUCUCCCAAUCUUCCUCUCUUUCUCUACUUUUCCAUCCCCAAAGCCCCAGUACCUGGUUGUAUAUUCUAGCUGUAAGUCGCUCUAGUUCUUCUGUGAGCCACUGCCACAGCAUGGCUACUGACAGACGGGUGGCAUAGGUCCACACCCAGGAGCCAAACCCAGGCCCCCAAACUGGAGCUGCCAAACUCACCCACUAGGCCAUCAGGGCUGGCUCAAGGGUCUGUAUUGUGACUAAGUCUCCAGGGCGGGCAGUCUUUUACCCCAAAGAGGGACCGGUACUUGGGAAUGUUGUCGCAGCAUCCCUCUCCUUGCGUCCUGGCCAGAACCAGGCACCCAGGCUGGGCUCCUGCUGUUCAGCUCAGCCCCUCGCCCAGUCCAGCUGGGUGCCCGUGUCUAUCUCCACACCCGUGUGUGAGCCCUGGGGGGCAGCGCCCAGCAGGAACCUGCAGUUGCAGAGCUCAGUGAAAGUCGGCUUGAACUCACUCUUUCAACAAAUUUUUGUUGAACUCCAACUGGGAGCAAAUACUGCUGCCUCUGGGAACCAAAGGGGACCUGCUCUGAAGAAGCCACUCCGCCGUGUGCGAGACGGUCAUGCUUUCUGCUUUGACGGGUUUACAUCCAAGCGAGAGAAGAGACGGUCCAGACGUAGGUAAGCCCACCACAAAGCCAGACACAUACAUAGCAGCGCUCCCCCCAUCUCGGCGACAGCGCGGCUGCGUGAAAUGCGCGGGCAGGCUCCUCCUCCCUGGUAUGGGAAGGACAUUCAAAUAGAAAGGGUUUUUCUUCUCAGUGUCCUAUUUUAUUAUGAAGCAUUUUGAAAAGUAAAGAUGCCAAUAUAGAAAAUAUCUUUAUUCACACCACCUAGAUUCAGUGAUUGUUAAACAUUCUGGCAUAUGUAUUUCAUUUCUCUUUUUUAAAUAAGGAAAUAAGGACCCCAAGAGCUGCAGUCCUUGAGCCUGUCCCUAAUUCCACUCUCCUGCCUCUUUCCGAGAGGUCGCUCUCUUCUAAGGCUGCUGCUUCCUUUAAUCCUCUUACUCCAUUUUUGUGCUCCAAUAAAUAUGUGCAGUAUCGGUGAUGUGUUUUUAGAAUUUAUGCGAAUGCAUUCAUACUGGGUAUUUUUUGCAAAGGGCUUUUUUAGUCUACAUUUUAGCUGCUUUAUGGUAUUUGUUUGUUGGCUAGAUCUCAGCUUCCUUGUUUGUUCAUUCAUUAUAAACAUGUGGCUCAAUUCUGAUCUCUUACUUGUCUCCUAGGAGUGGAAUUGCUGGCACACGGGGCAGAGGCAUCUUCAGUUAAAAUGGUUGAUGAGUGAUACUGUUCUUACCAACAGCUUUCUGUUCUUUAUAACCAUUUAUAUACUUAUUCUUCUUCUCAUUAUUAUUUAAAAAAUUUCCACCAAUGACUCAUAAAUGAGAAGCAAGUUUGCAUCGCACACUCCAGUACUGCAUAAAUAUUUCCCAGUUACCUUCCUUCCCUUCAAAGGACGAGGCGCCUCAUUUAGCCAGUCUCUGCCCAUCUGGAAUCCAUCCACAUCUGCUAGGGCCUCAUGCGCUCAGCUGGGAGCUGAGUCUUGAGAAGGGUCUGGGGACGAGUCUGCUAAGAACGUAGGGAUUCCCAGGAAGGGAGUAUCCGGUGGUGUCACGACUAGUCUCACAUGUUAAGAGAGCACAUGGACAAAAAUGUGUCCAUGAUUUAUGUUUCUUGACAUAAACUUCACAAUUCAGAAGUUAUAAGCCCAAAGCACACGUGGAGGAGAGGCUGCAGCAGUACUGCCCCCAAAAUGCUACCACUGACCAAAACAGUUCUUCAAAAUCACUCAAUUUUUGCAGCGUUAGUCUAUUUCAUAGCCAUUUGAUAUGUAACAUAGAAGGAUAAAGCACUUUUUAGGGGUUAGUGUUGUUUUAGGUUCUUUAAAUUCAUUAGACCUCUUGACCUUUACUAUAGGCUUUAGGGCGAGGUACCAUUUACAUCCUUUCUACAGAUGAGGGUACGGAUGCUGGGGCUGGGUGGAGGUAAGGAAUCCGCUCAAGAGGAUGCAGCCAGGAAAUGCAGAGGCAGGAUUUCAGACCUACUCUCCUGGGCCCUGGAGCCCCUGGUGUCACAGAGAGAUGACACAGAUUUUCACUUCAAAAAAUACACAAAACCCAUUCCUGCCCAAAGUGGUAACUUGAAUCUCAUCAAGAGAAACCAAACCAAAUCAAGGGACAUCCUUCAAAACAACUGAAAUACGCUCUUCAAAAGUAUCGAUGCACAAAAGACAAGAGCUGAGGAAGUGCUCCUGAUAGAAGGACGCUGAGGAGAUUUGACAGCUAAAGGUCACAUGUCAUACUGGAUUGGGGGAAGAUGCUGUAAAAAGGUUACAGGGACAAUGGGCAAAAUUGAGCACAGAAUGUAUUUUAGCUAAUAGUAUUAAAUCAACAUUAAAUUUCCUGAAUUUAAUCACAGUCAUUAUGAUUAUGAAGGAAACAUCCUUGCUCUUAGGAGAAAUAUUUCUUUAAUGAUUAGGCAUACCGAUUACUCCUAAUAUACCUAUGGAUUACUUGUUGUUUUUAAGAUUGGCACCUGAGCUAACAACUUGCCAAUCAUUUUUUUUUUUGGCUUUUUCUCUCCAAAUUCCCCCAGUAGAUAGUUGUAUAUUUUUAGUUGUGGGUCCUUCUGGUUGUGGCACGUGGGACACCGCCUCAGCAUGGCCUGAUGAGUGGUGCCAUGUCUGCAUCCAGGAUCUGAACCAGCAAAACCUUGGGCUGCCAAAGCAGAGCAUGCAAACUUAACCAUUCGGCCACAGGGCCGGCUCCUUGUUAUUCUUUUUAAAUGACUAUCCUAUUGUUAUCUUUUGGCAAUUUAAAAAUGAAGGUAUGGUAUGAAUAGAUUGAUUUCAAUUUGUUUUUUUUUAAUUAUUUUAUUGAAGUCAUAUCUACUCGUGUAAAUCUCAGGUGUACAUUAUUAUAACUCAGUUUCUGUAUAGACUGCAUCGUGUUCACCAUCAAUAAUCUAGUUUUUAUCUGUUACCGUACAUAUGUGUCCCUUUACCCCUUUUGCCCUUCCCCCACCCCCUUCCCCUCUGGUAACCACUGAUCUGUUCUCUUAUCCCUGUGUUAGUUUCUCUUCUGCAUAUGAGUGAAAUCGUAGAGUGUUUGUUUAAUACCCUCAAAGUCCAUCCAUGGUGCAAAUGGCACAAUUUUGUUUGUUCAUGGCUGAGUAGUAUUCCACUGUAUAAAUAUACCACAUCUUCUUCAUCUGUUCAUCAGUUGAUAGGCACUUGGGUGGCUUCCACAUCUUGGCUGUUGUGAAUGGUGCUGCAAUGAACAUAGGGGUGCAUAAGUCUCUUUGAGUUGUUGAUUUCAAGUUCUGUGGAUGACAAUUUGGUUUUUUUCAAGUGGAAUUUAUUGCAUGCAUACUGAAUGGUUCAUGGAGUCAAGGAAAGAACUGGAACAACCAGGGUAGGGGAAAAAGGAAGUGGCAUUAGAUGACGCCAUUUCUAAGGAUCUGGUGGGCUUCUUCAGGGUGAGCGCCCCAGCCCCUUAAUCACUAAUUGUUCUCUGUAAGGGCUGGGACAACCCCACCUCAUUAAAUGCCGAUUACACUCUUAGUUUCCUAACAUGGCGUGUGUCCCUAAAUUCAAAAUGUCAAGUUACAUUAAAAAUGCAUGAGCUUGCUUUAAUUUAAAGCCUACAGCCUUUGACUAAUUUGGGGGUGAAAGGGAGAAAGUCCCAUUGCAAAAUUUCAAAUUAAAUUGCUGAGGUUGGGGAAGCAGGGAAGGAGCACCCAAGAGCCUGUGGAUAUAAUCUUUUGAGACUCAGCCUGAGGAGGACUCUUCCGUGAGGCCCUCUCAGGUGCUCAGCUUGCCCAGAGCCCCUCCUGGGUGGUCCAGCAGCUCUUCUGUGGCACUUACUGAGUCAUCUUGUCAGGGGCCGUCUGGGUGUGCGUCUCCCCGUGACUGUACGUGUAACAAGGAAAGUCUCUGGCACUUAUUUCCUUUGGCUUUCAGGGCCUGACUUAGUGCCUGGCAUGGAGGGGGAAGCCAUAAAUAUUUAAGUUAAACUAAAUUUCUUUUAAAAAAUAGCUUGUCCAGAGGCCUCCUGUGUCUCUGCCUAGAUCUAAGAGUCAGGGUCUGAGGACUCCGCCGGCCACCGUGCUCACCGCUGUGUUUUAGACAGAAUUCUAAUAAGCUCAUCUGAUGUCCUGCCUGCAGUAAGAACAAGAACUUGGAACAAAGAAAGAGGGAAUGUAGUCUGCUCCUGGAAGAGAACGUUCACAGCAGCACUAAGGAAAAUCCUAAUGGAGACGAGGGGAAGAAAGUCAGGAACAGCGUGAGAGUCUGGAAAUAGGGACCCUGGUUGACAUCUCUUAAGGACCCUGCUGAUUCACCAAAAGACGGGGGGACCGUGCACCACGGGCUCUGGUGCAGAGGCAGAGAAGGGUACAGUCUUCUCAAAGGUUAAAAGAAAAUGUUAUGGAACAUUUAAAUUGGUUCUUUUUGGACAUGUCACCGUGUCCAAAGUGUAACAGAUGGGAGCUGCUGUGCGUUUUCAUUAAUCGUUGUUUUCGUGAACGUUCGGACGGUCCCUGCUUCUAAUUUUAAAGCAGACGAACAGAACAUUCUGUAUUUCUAAAAGAUCCCACCAAACGUGAAUUACUUUUGUGGCCCUCGACCAAGUUUUGUCAGAAAUAAAACCUGACUCUCCUCAGGCAGCUUUGUGACUCCCCAGGAAGAGACGAGAGCCAGGCUCCCAGCGUCCCCACCUCCUGAAGGAGACACUGCGGGCACAGGCAGCCUUUGCCGGCCUCCAUCCUCCCAGGAAAUAAAGACCCGGAGUCGCUGGGAUCAUGGACGCAGAGCCCCAACCCGUGACCACAGAGCGGUUCACCCCCACAGCCCCACGGGGCCUUGUGGGAGCCCUGCCUCAGGUCCGGUGCGCACGGGAAGCCCUGGGCCACACCCGACUUCCCAGAGCUCGGAAACAUCUGUGCUGCCUCCCGGCUCCUGGUUCCUUGGGCGAGAAGCCUCGCGCAGAACAGCCUGGGACCUGAGGCUCCAGCCUUCCAGGGAUCAGGCGCUGCCCCCUCCCCUCCACGUCCAGCCACCCCGCUGGCCAGCUCGCUGCCUCCCCCAGCUCUUGGGACCCCUCCCGGGAAGUCAGGGCCUUGAUGAGCUCCAGGGUUCUGCCCAGUUUCUCGGGCCUUGGCCCCCAAGCCACUGCUCCUCUUUGCCAGAGCUGGUGCUCUGCGGCCAAGGGACCACUGGACUGCUGCUCACCUCAGGGUCAGGCUGCGUCAGAGGACUGUGGGGAGAACAGCGGCCCCCAAGGGAGAUGCCCCAGGCCAGGCAGCCUCCAGGAUCAGAACCCAGCAGCGGCCUGGCGUGGACUCCACUGGACGUUUUGAGAACCGAGGACUUGGUGACUAGAUACUUCUGUCAGCCUUGCCCUCCCAUAGCUACACUUUACCAAUUUUUGGAAUAAACAAUUGCCACUACCUGAGCACAUCGCAAGUCUCUAUACGGUUUUACAAAUCUGGGGCAUUUAACGUAAUUUUCCAUAUUCUUAACUCAGCGACUGAGAGGUUCAGAGAUUAGAACAAUCUUUGGAAAAUACAUUCCUCAGAGGUCCAGCGUCUGCUCAACUGGGAACAACUUUGAAAAAAGGCAGAAGGGCAGAUGUGAGCUAUGAGGAGAGGGAAAAGACGGGAGGAACGGGAUACGAGGUUGCUCAUGCCAAGAUGUGAAUGGGCCAAAAAGCCCCAGUGCCUCCUAAUUUCUUACGUGCCUGCACUUCCUUCCGGCCAGUGCUCCCCAGGGAGUUUCCUCCAACGCCUCCAUCGGUCCCCGGGCCUCGCAGCAGCCGUGCUGUGUGGUCCGCACACAGGCGAUCUCGGGAAUACUGGGUUGGCACCAGCAGGAGAACUGUUCGUACGGACACCCGAGCCCACCGGAAAGACAUGGGGAAGGGCACCACGGGCCUGCUCUCUGGGCUGGACGCUGGGAUUAACCCUCCAGAGAAGCAGAAGAGGCCAGGGCUGCCCCCACCCCCAGGACGGAGAGCCCGCAGGACGGCAGGGACCUCUCUGGGAGCGGCCUCGGCUUGCGAGCCCCCAGGCGCUCAGUAAUGGAGAGAUUCUGAGUGUAACACUGCCCGGUGACUGGAAGAGAUGUCACCGUCACCAGCUGUGGAUGCUGGGUGGCAGCAGGAGGGAAUGAAGCCCGUGGACAAAAACCAAGAGAGAGACUGACGUGAAGUGAGGCCCUGAGGGUCCUGCUGGGGGCCUGGAUCCACGGCUGGACCCCAGGGUGGAAGGUCGCUCAGUUAACCUGACGUGAGUUGAUUUUCCUUCAUGUACGACCAGAAUGAACCGACGGACUCAGCGGUCUCCGACAUUACUUUUGAGAGCAGAACCACAGAAAGGAGAGCUCGUAACUCAAAAAGGCUCAGAGAAACAGAAGGCACAAAGGAUUGUGGAGAGGGGCUCUUGUUCCCGUGAUACAAGUUGUAUAAUAAAUAGUCACAGCACCUGACUGUCUCUGUCAUUACACGCAUGACGCUCUUCUGAAGGCCUCUAUGUAUUAAUUCACUUAAUCCUCCUAAGAACCCCAUGAGGCCAGUGCUAACAUCAUUAUCCCCACUGAACAGAUGAGGGAAAUCGAGGCGCAGAGAGGUUCAGUAACUUGCCUAAUGCAGCACAGCCAGGAAACAGAAGACAGGGGUGCUGAGUCAAGGUGGCCUGGCUCCCCAGCCGUGACCCUGCUCACACGUCCUGUCCCAGGAAGCGGCUGCUGACGGUGACCGGUGGGCUGGAGGUCCUGCUGUCGAGGUUGGGCUUCCUCUGACCGGUGGCUUCGUCUCCUGGUGGCCGACUCCUUCGGAGAACCAGCCACCUGGAAAACGAAAGGCAGACGGCAAAGCCUGCUGAAUUCAGUGGAUCGUCUGUGCUUAGGAUGGAGAACGAUCAACCGGUUCACUCACUCCUAAAACAUUUUAAGAACAAAGCUUGUGGAACCUGUCAAAAAAGAAAUCACAGACAGAAACUCCACUUGGGUCUACAUUUUGGCCAAUUAACAUGAAAAAAAAUACGAAGAAGGAAGGAGGAGGUGACGAAAGAAGAGAAAGGGACCAGGACUGACGAAGCGGUGCAGAGACGGAGGCAGAGGAGCGCCUGCGCGGAGCAAUUGAGAAAGAAAGGAACGACAGUCCAGGUUAGACACCCGGACAGAGACAGAGAGAGCUGGGGGCACAGAAACACAAACCCCCCCAGGAGUGGGCAGGGCCAGCGGUCAGGGCCCUGAGCAGCCGCGUCUCUGCUGCCCGUCCCUGGAGCGAACGCAGCGCCCGCCACGGAGAGCACCCUGGGAGGAGCCGGCGGCGCAGGAGUGGAAGGUGGACAGCGACCCGGGGCGACGCGGACAGGGAGCACGGCUGUGCGGCUCUUAGCACGUAGAGCCUGGGAUCAGGGGGACUCGGGUCGGAUCUUGGCUUUGUGGCUUCAAAUUUCUGUGAUUUGGGUAAUGUUCCCAUAACUUUUGAUCUUUUUGUGUGUCAGUUUCUUCAUAUGUGAAAGUAAGGCUAUGCUCCAGAUAUUGAGCUGUUUUUCUCUUUUCUCCCCACCACCCUUCCACACUCUGCUUUGUGAGGCUCUGGCUGGCCCUCUGAAGACCACGUUUCAGGUUUGCAAACUGGCUUCCUAGCCCUGCUGACCGUGGGCACCAGGAGGACACUGGAGGGACCAAGAAUGACGAAGGGACUUGUCCGUCCUUGUCCAGGCCCCCGCUCGUCUUCCUGCUCCUGAGAGCCUCAUGUCCCCAAAGCUUUUCCUUCGUAGCCACAGCAACUAAACCCAGUUUGCAGUUUUCCGGCACCCACAGGGCCAGCUUCCCUGAGCCCCCAGAGCCCCCAGCACCAGCGGAGGCCUGAGGCUCCCUGCUCUGCACACCUGGGUUUUGAUGGUCCCAGCCUCCGCCCGCGCCCUCCCAGCCUGGGGACAGCGGCUGCUCCUACAGUUGCUGCCUCCUUGAUAGCUUAGAGGCCCCUUUUUACCCUUCUAGUUACUAGUUAUCAGCUAUGUACCUGGUUGACAACUUUGUUUUCCAUUUUCUCUGUUUAAAGAACUAGUAUGGUUUCUGUCUCCUGCCUGGACCCUAAUUGAAACAGGAUAACAACACCUACUUCAUGGAGGCGUGAGGGUGGACUGAAGAGGGCUCAGAACAUAGCCCGGCUGUGGCAAGGCGCAGGCAGCGUGAGCUCCAUAAUCCACAGGGACAGCAGAACGUUAGACAGCAGUGCCGGCGUGACACAGGUGCCUCCCACGGAGGACCCUGACUUCACCACCUCUGAAGAUGCCGACAGGUGUGGUCUCCCUUGCAGCUACGGGCUCAGAUGAAGGUCCCAGUCAGGCACCAUGUCACUGAAUCCAAGACACUAUUGAUCGUCUCACACACAACUAAUCCUGUGUAUCACUAAGAAAGUUAAAAUUCACCACCAAACUAUGAUCAAACUAUGAUCACAAGGCUCAUCUUCAUAUUAGAGAGAUUAAAAUGUGUGUCUGAGAACGGAUGAAAGAGAGUAUUUACACUGAGCUGUGCUGAAUGGUAGUAACCUUUGGAUGGAUCUGUAGCCAUUCUUUAUCUCUUCCUCUUUAGCACCAAUAUUAAACAUGCGCGCGUGCACACACACACGCACGCACACACACACACACUCUUAGGAAAGGUGAAGGAUAAAAGCAUUUCCUGGCCUUGUCCCCGAGGAAACCAACAAUAGGAAAUUGGCCCAAUACGUAAACCUUCCCCUUGGUUCAGUCUGGCCUUUUUAACAAAGAGCUUGCCCCUCUCCCAGCAAACCCUCCCCGUUUUUUGAGCAAAAUAACCUCGCCCACAAACACAGGCAAGUCACAGUGUGCUUUCCGCUCAGACUGGGAGGGGGUGGGACCUCAAGCGGGAAACGUCCUUGCUGGUCAGCACAAUGGACGCUGGAUGAGUCCUGUGUUCAGCACACUCUGGGGUCUGCCUGCCUCAGGCUUGAGCUUCAGUCCAAGUGUGCUUCUGGAGUGUGGUCACAAUCAGAAAAACAAGGGGUGCAAAAAUAACGUGGCAUGAGUCAUGUAUUUCUGCCCCAAACAAGCCCUCACUCUAGCCGGCCUGCGCGGCCUCAAGCCCUCACUCUAGCCGGCCUGCGCGGCCUCAAGUUCUCACUCUGCACGGUACAGACAUGACCCCCGGAGCGCCAGGCUGCAGAGCCGCGGGGAGACCCUCAGUGAACUCAAGGGCAGUGGGCUGGAGCUGGCACGGCUCUGGAGAAUGAGUGCCUGAAGCCUUAGGAGUUUUGCAGCCACUUGCUGACAUGUUGGUGACUUGAACUCAGCUGUGUGGUGAGUGUUCAAACACGGCAACCAGCCACCCGUACACAUCAGAUCCUUUUCCUUCCGAAAAGCUGGUCGUUGAGCAUUUGCGAGCACACUGCUGUCAAGGGUGGGUCCUCCUGGGUUGCAGAGAGUGGCUUUGACCUCGUCUCAGCGAAAUGAGACUAAGCGUGUGGGAAGGGGACAGAGAGCAGUCCCUCCUUGGUCCUGAGCGAGGACGGAAGUCCUCGCGCGCUCGGCACUCCACAGCCCCUAGAGCAAGGUCCGCAGGCGUUCUCGAAAGGGCCAGCGAGUCGGCAUUUUCUGCCCUGCAGACCAUCUGGUGGCUGUUGCUAUUAUUCAGUGUUCCCCCUGCCGCACAAAAGCAACCACAGGCAAUGCGUAGACGAUGGGUGUGGCCGUGUUCCCACAGAAUUUUAUUUACGGACGCUGAGACUCGAAUUUCAUAUCGUUUCCACAUCACGAAAUAUAAUUAUUCUUUUGAUCUUUUUUCAACCACUCUGAGCUCGCGGGCUACACAAAAUCAGCUGGCAGGCUGGAUUCGGACGGUGGGCCGUCGCCUUCCUGGUGUUGCCUUGAGAUACAACAUGCUGAAUAGUGUAAAGACGUGAGAGCUGACCCACGUCUCAGCGAAUAGUAACAGCAACUCUCAUUACUGGGUAGUUUCUGCACCAACAGCCGUCCUAAGAGUUAUAUGUACAUUCGCUCAUUUAAUCCCUAAAAUGACCCCAGAAUGAAUACUAUUUUGAGACUUAGUGAAGAAAAACCACAUGGCCAAGUUCAGGCAGUGGGAACACGCAGACUGUAAAUUUGAAAGUUUGUGCUCCCAGCCUAUGCCACCCGGCUGGAAAUCCUGGGUCUUGUGUGCAGGAAACAAUCUUGAGCAUUCGCCAGCAACUCACAAAUCUUUCCCGUUUUUCCUCCCCCUUCACAGGAACCAGAACCCAUCCAGCAAACCUACCCAGAAAAACAGUAAGAUGGGCAAAGUCACAUUUGCGACUUUUUAUCUUUUUUAAAGAAUUUUAUAGAAUACGGAAGUAGGUUGAGUAACGCUUGCAGUUUAUUUCCAAAAAUCAGGCUAAUGCAGGGCACCUGCGUCACAUGAGCCAACGUGUGUCCUUGGGCUCCCACGACUGACACACCGGAGAGUCCGAGCGCCGAGCAGCAUCUCCACCCCUGGAGCGGGCGGGACAAAGCUGGGCGCUCUGCUUCAAAUCAGCCCUUUUUUACAAGGCACAGAAAUUAAUUCUUGAGAGGACAGUAACUCCUGGCGGGAAGAAAAUUAUUGACGUUUUGUGUGUAUGUCUGUGUGUGUAUUUAUGGAAGUAAUAUUCAGAAAUGGAAAAAACCCAUAAGUUACAAGGUUAAAUUAAUCCUAGGAGAUUGUCUUAAUUUCUGUAAUUAUCUUACCACUACCUUAGUAAAAAAAAAAUCUCAUGAAGCAAAUACAAAAUGUUAAUAUUGUCGGAUCUAAGUGAGAUAUUUUGUUAUUAACAAUUUUGUUUAGAUGCCUAAAAGCGAUAGUAUGACUAAAUAAAAGAUAGCUUCUCAAGAAGAACAUAAAUAACUUUCCUCAGCUUGAUCUCUAAGAUAAAUCAGAGGGAUGGUGACCUGGGUGCACCUGAGUGGCGUCCUGACGAUGAUUUUCCAGUUAGGUCGGCCCUGACCACAGAUGAUCCUCCACUUGGCUUGGAAACAAGCUCAAUCUAUCUGUGCCAGUAAAACUCAGAAGUCCAGGCACACAUUGCAGGGAAAGCCUAGCUCAACCUUGAAGACCAGGAUAAACAUUCGCUGGCUUAUGGAGAAGGCUGAUUUGUCCCCGUGGGCAGCUGGCUCUUUAAACGAUAAAGUGGCAUGCCAGCUUACCCUUGAAAAGGGUCAAGCAUGGCGAUGGAUCCCGGUGUCAAAAGAAGCACCAGCUGUGGGAUGGGGAUGAUUGAGAAGACUGAGGGUAUCCAGAGCUGGUGAGAGGUGGGGAAACAGGCCCACACGUGCAUUUCUGGCAGGAGGGUAAAUUGGUGCAAUCUUCCUGGGGGAACAUUCGGCAGCAUGCAGAAAAGCCUUUUCUAAAAGCCUUUGACUUAGGAGUCCCACUCCUAGAAAUCUGCCCUACGUAAAGAUUGGGUAAAUGUGUUAGGAUGAACACACAGGAUGUGAACUACUGCAGAGUUUAUAGUGCUGAUCAAUUUGAAAUAACCUGAACAUUUAUCACUAGGAAUUUGGUUAAAUAACUAUGGCGUAUCGACACAGUGAAAACCACAAGGUCACUAACCAGAACGAUAUGGGUCUACAUUUAUAGAUAUGGAAAGACAGACGUUUAUAUGUUGCUAAGGGGGAAAAAACCACGUGUCCUCUGAUUCUAUUGGGGACAUGUGUGUGUGUGCGUGCGUGUGUGUGCAUGCACACAGGAAAAAGUGUGACCAGUGUAAUGUUUACAGCAAUUAUUGCUGAGUAGAAUCAACUUAAUUUUAAUUUUAUAUUUCUCUGAACGUUCUGAAUUUUUCAGGAAUAUGUAAGUAUUAUUGUCUUAAUUAGAAAAAAAUUUGCAUAAACAAAAAUUCUCCAAGAACUGGCCAGUGAUGUCCGCUUGUCCUCUUCCUUUAUGCUGAGCCCUCUAGUUACUUCUGACACAGCUGCUUUCCUCACGACGUCUGCUCAUCGGUCCCCUACCGCAGGGUUCUCAGAGGCUGAUGUGUUCAGGCAUUUGCACUUUGUUGAGGCUCUUAGCAUACAUAUAUGUGUGUUUCUUUAAAGGAGAAAUGACAAAAGAGAGAUACAAGAUUUGUCGUCUGUUGUAACUGUCUACACUUAACAAAUUAACCCUUUUAUCGUCAGGAAGGACAUUCCACGCAAUUCUACGUAAGUUUCAUUUGCAGCAGCGGACCACAGACUGCGGUGACGGCCACAUAAAGCCGUGUUCUUCCUCCCCGGCCCCAUGAGUGUCUCCAGGCCCGGCUGUAUGCUCCUCUGGAGAUGAUGUAAGAGAUCAAAAUACCCCAAAUUGAAAUCUGAGGCCCUUGGGAAUGUGUGCCUGGAGUCACGUGACCCUCCUGACAUCCUCGUCACAGCUCUGCCCCUGUCCCAUGCUGGACGGUCAGGCGAUGGCAGUCUCUCCUCUACCCAGCCCCGCUGUCCCUCCUUCGGCUUUUCCUGGACCGGGCGCUGAGUCUGGGCCUACAGCUCCCUACAUGCACUCUAGGUGCUGCUGGGCUAUUUCCGCCCCACGGCCUUCACGCCGGAGAGCCCACCAGCCCAGCCGCCUGCUGCAGGACGCUGAGGCCAACACCACCCCAUGCGCUGAGGUUUCUCUGCUGCCUGCAGAACGAAACUCUGGAAACAGUGACUCAGGAGCCGUGUCAAGACAGCAGCAUCCAAGAUGGGGAACCACAGGCCAGGCUGGACCAGGAACCUUCGACAGCCACCCAUGUUCAGGAAACAGCCCGAGACCACAGCCUGCACUACGAGCAGGAGUCGUGUCAACACUUCUGCACACCUGGGAAACUCGGCCCUGCCCAAUGCCUCCCGCCAGUGACAGAGCAGCCUGGGCCCCAGCACUCUGAGCAGGACGGGGAGGGGCCUGGAGCAGAACCCGCUGUGCCAGCCGCAGGAUCUCCUUGUUCUGCUGAAUGACCAGUAAGCUGGACGGAGGUGGACAGGGGGACUCAGAAUCCUCAGGCAGCUCCCAUGGGGAAACUGAGCAAGGGCGACCGUCAAGGAAGAAGAUGCGACACAGCCACUCUGCAGCCGUGUGACCCGGAGGCCGCAGCAGGAAUGGACGCGACGGACGCAAAGACAAGAGGUGCCACGAAGAGGGCAGGGGCCACGAAGAGGGCAGGGGCCCUGGAAAACACUUUCUUUCCAUUGCUUUUGAACCUCUGGUCAGUGACAGCGAUAGUCCAUGCAGGGCCUCUCCCUUAAUUUACUGAUAAAUUAAUUUAUGUAAUAAAUUACAUUAUUACAUAAUUAUUACAGUAAAUUAUUUCCAGCUACAUCCACCGUCACCCCAGGCUCCUCUCAUCACAGGCGAUCAUUUUAAAGAGCUUAGUGUGAAUAUUUUUAUUUGCAUAUGUUUUUUCUUUUUUUAAAAAAGAUUUUAUUUUUCCUUUUUCUCCCAAAGCCCCC